AACGAACGCUGGCGGCAGGCUUAACACAUGCAGGUCGAACGGGUGCAGCAAUGCAUCAGUGGCAGACGGGUGAGUAACACGUGGGAACCUUCCUAGAGGUACGGAACAACUCAGGGAAACUUGAGCUAAUACCGUAUACGCUCUUGCGAGGAAAGAUUUAUCGCCUUUAGACGGGCCCGCGUCGGAUUAGGUAGUUGGUGGGGUAACGGCCUACCAAGCCUACAAUCCGUAGCUGAUCUGAGAGGAUGAUCAGCCACACUGGGACUGAGACACGGCCCAGACUCCUACGGGAGGCAGCAGUGGGGAAUCUUGGACAAUGGGCGCAAGCCUGAUCCAGCCAUGCCGCGUGAGUGAAGAAGGCCUUCGGGUUGUAAAGCUCUUUUGUCAGGGACGAUAAUGACGGUACCUGAAGAAUAAGCCCCGGCAAACUUCGUGCCAGCCGCCGCGGUAA
Molecule: ribosomal RNA, 451 nt
Filed under: uncultured bacterium
Lineage: Bacteria
Description: partial 16S ribosomal RNA
Rfam family: Bacterial small subunit ribosomal RNA
Source: RNAcentral